RNAcentral lists this ribosomal RNA (254 nucleotides) under uncultured bacterium. RNAcentral describes it as "partial 16S ribosomal RNA". It matches the Rfam family "Bacterial small subunit ribosomal RNA", at positions 524 to 776 of the family's 1533-position model. The record is from RNAcentral.
UACGUAGGGGGCAAGCGUUGUCCGGAUUUAUUGGGCGUAAAGAGCUCGUAGGUGGUUCGGUAAGUCGGAUGUGAAAUCUCCAGGCUCAACCUGGAGGGGUCAUUCGAUACUGCCGUGACUAGAGGUCGGUAGGGGAGUGUGGAAUUCCUGGUGGAGCGGUGAAAUGCGCAGAUAUCAGGAAGAACACCCGUGGCUAAGGCGGCUCUCUAGUACGGUACUGACGCUGAGACGCGAAAGCGUGGGGAGCGAACAGG